GCGUGAGGGAGGAGGCUCUUGGGUCGUAAACCUCUUUUCUCAGGGAAGAACAAAAUGACGGUACCUGAGGAAUAAGCAUCGGCUAACUCCGUGCCAGCAGCCGCGGUAAUACGGAGGAUGCAAGCGUUAUCCGGAAUGAUUGGGCGUAAAGCGUCCGCAGGUGGCAAUGUAAGUCUGCUGUUAAAGAGUCUAGCUCAACUAGAUAAGAGCAGUGGAAACUACAUAGCUAGAGUACGUUCGGGGCAGAGGGAAUUCCUGGUGUAGCGGUGAAAUGCGUAGAGAUCAGGAAGAACACCGGUGGCGAAGGCGCUCUGCUAGGCCGUAACUGACACUGAGGGACGAAAGCUAGGGGAGCGAAUGGGAUUAGAUACCCCAGUAGUCCUAGCCGUAAACGAUGGAUACUAGGCGUGGCUUGUAUCGACCCGAGCCGUGCCGUAGCUAACGCGUUAAGUAUCCCGCCUGGGGAGUACGCCGGCAACGGUGAAACUCAAAGGGAAUUGACGGGGGCCCGCACAAGCGGUGGAGUAUGUGGUUUAAUUCGAUGCAACGCGAAGAACCUUACCAAGGCUUGACAUGUCGCGAAUCCCGGUGAAAGCUGGGAGUGCCUUCGGGAGCGCGAACACAGGUGGUGCAUGGCUGUCGUCAGCUCGUGUCGUGAGAUGUUGGGUUAAGUCCCGCAACGAGCGCAACCCUCGUUUUUAGUUGCCAGCAUUAAGUUGGGCACUCUAGAGAGACUGCCGGUGACAAACCGGAGGAAGGUGGGGAUGACGUCAAGUCAGCAUGCCCCUUACGCCUUGGGCUACACACGUACUACAAUGCUCCGGACAGAGGGCAGCAAGCAUGCGAAUGCAAGCAAAUCCCGGAAACCGGAGCUCAGUUCAGAUCGCAGGCUGCAACUCGCCUGCGUGAAGGAGGAAUCGCUAGUAAUUGCAGGUCAGCAUACUGCAGUGAAUUCGUUCCCGGGCCUUGUACACACCGCCCGUCACACCAUGGAAGCUGGUAGUGCCCGAAGUCAUUACUCCAACCUUUCGGGGAGGAGGAUGCCUAAGGCAGGACUGGUGACUGGGGUGAAGUCGUAACAAGGUAGCCGUACCGGAAGGUGUGGCUGGAUCACCUCCU
RNAcentral lists this ribosomal RNA (1119 nucleotides) under Nostoc sp. 'Gunnera magellanica cyanobiont'. Its description in RNAcentral is "bacterial SSU rRNA". It matches the Rfam family "Bacterial small subunit ribosomal RNA", at positions 399 to 1531 of the family's 1533-position model. The record is from RNAcentral. Lineage: Bacteria; Bacillati; Cyanobacteriota; Cyanophyceae; Nostocales; Nostocaceae.